CGGAGUCGCCGGCGGCAGCAGCAGUUCAAGGAACGAACGCGUGAGGCAGAUGUGAUCUGAUUUCGUGACGGCUAGGGUAGGCGAUCGCGUGCUUAUAAAGACGGCUGGGUGGAAGAGUCCGAGUCGGUAACGAUCACGAUCCGACGUCUCGGAUCGUUUCCUUGUCCGUUACGUAUUCUCCGUUCCUGACCGGCAAAAAUAAGCGCGUAGGUAUGAGCUCGGCUCGGCUCAUUCCCGCAACCCGCGGCGCGUCGUGACGAGGCGUGGCGUGGCGAGGCGGGCGGCGGAGGAGGAGAGCGCGAGGGCACCUUCUCUUCUCACUCUCCAAUAGCAUGUGGAAGAGAGACCCUUAUAA
RNAcentral lists this long non-coding RNA (355 nucleotides) under Hordeum vulgare. RNAcentral's name for it is "long non-coding RNA (HVUL_LNC021473)". The record is from RNAcentral. Lineage: Eukaryota; Viridiplantae; Streptophyta; Magnoliopsida; Poales; Poaceae.